This 253-nucleotide ribosomal RNA is filed under the name uncultured prokaryote. RNAcentral describes it as "partial 16S ribosomal RNA". It matches the Rfam family "Bacterial small subunit ribosomal RNA", at positions 524 to 776 of the family's 1533-position model. The record is from RNAcentral.
GACGUAGGGGGCGAGCGUUGUUCGGAAUUACUGGGCGUAAAGCGUGCGUAGGCGGACUUAUAAGUCAAGGUUGAAAUAUCCGGGCUCAACUCGGGGCACGGCCUUGAUACUGCAAGUCUUGAGUCAAGUAGAGGGUAAUGGAAUUCCCGGUGUAGUGGUGAAAUGCGUAGAUAUCGGGAGGAAUACCAGUGGCGAAGGCGGUUAGCUGGACUGUAACUGACGCUGAGGCGCGAAGGCUAGGGUAGCAAACAGG